Esox lucius (northern pike) is the source of this 950-nucleotide long non-coding RNA. Lineage: Eukaryota; Metazoa; Chordata; Actinopteri; Esociformes; Esocidae. The record is from Ensembl.
CUUGUGUUAGUGCACACCCACUCACCUGACAACUUCAGUUAGGUCUGCAAGCACCUGAGACCCCUAUGGGAGUAACUACCACUGGGCCUAAGUUGCAAUCUAAUUUUUGUUAGACACUAAUUCACUAAAGCUCAAACUAAUAAACCUUUUCAUAUAUGCAUAUUUUUGUACUUAGAUAAGAAAAACAUUCUUUUCUCAACAGGGUUCAACUCUUCGUCGAUUCCCAGCACUGCAAUGAAUUCUAUAUCUGGGUUCACCCCUUCGUCGAUCCCUAGCACUGCAAUGAAAUCUACAUCUGGACGUCAAAAUUCAAACCAUCAAGAGCGCUAUUUUGUGAAACUAUUAUGGCUGGCAGCAGGGGGUGUGGCUUCUGGAUUGGGCUUGUAUCUUCUGGGAUUGACAGCUUUCUGUCUCUGCAGGAAGAGCAAGAACUCUUCUCAGAGAUCUGUCCAACAGGAUGAUCACAACCAAGUUGUAGAUUUGGUGAUGGGAGACAUGAGGAGUGGAGGCAUGGUGGAUUCAGGAAAUGAUGGGUUCUAUUCUGUCAUCACUUCUGUACCGUCCACAUUCCUGCCCUCAGAGAACUCUUCUCAGAGAUCUGUCCAACAGGAUGAUCACAACCAAGUUGUAGAUUUGGUGAUGGGAGACAUGAGGAGUGGAGGCAUGGUGGAUUCAGGAAAUGAUGGGUUCUAUUCUGUCAUCACUUCUGUACCGUCCACAUUCCUGCCCUCAGGUCCUAUUGCAGAGAAUUAAUCUAAAAAUGAAAAUUCUGAUAAAUACCACGUGCACUGCUCAAUCCCUGACAGACCAGCAACCUCAGCCCAGAAAGAAGGGUUGUAGAGUCUUCUGCAGAAACACUGAAUCUAUUUGCUUUCUGUAGCGAUGUUUAACAGGUCUAUAAAUAAAUACACACUCUCUAACAUGAAGUCCUCUGUUUAUAUCAAACACCA